Molecule: long non-coding RNA, 2699 nt
Filed under: Heterocephalus glaber (naked mole-rat)
Lineage: Eukaryota; Metazoa; Chordata; Mammalia; Rodentia; Bathyergidae
Description: lncRNA (ENSHGLG00000029963.2)
Source: RNAcentral
CGGGACAGCUCAGAGGCUGAACAGAAAGAGGCAGCUGAGCUAAGAGGGCUUUCAACUUUCCUGCCCUCCCUGGGCUUCCCGACUGACCGAAGGGCCUUGGACGUGUCAGUCGCCCGUGCGGCAGAGCUUGCAGCCUGUCCUUCGGAGCUGUCUCCCUGCCUUCCCUGUCCUCCCCUUCCGUCUCCAGCCUCUCCACAUGGUUUACUGAGCUGCUGGGUUCUGCUAUGGUUUACAGUGUUUCCACCUUUGGUGUUGUUCUGAAAGCAGCAACAGGUGAAAGUUUUGCGGCAAAAACACAGUGUUAUUUCCUCUGACAGUGAGGGGGAAUUUGUGAACCACUUGUGUCCCUCAAAUCUUCCGUGUCCUAAGGCAUCCCAGAGCCCAGGAGUUUGAGGAAUUUCAGGAAAAUGGAAGCUUGGAAGUGUGGAGGCCAGUGGCUCACUCAGAGUGCGUCCUGCCUCCUGCUCUCAGGCCACAGGAAUUUCACAGCCAGCACAUGGGUGGCAGCCGGUGCCGCACGACGGCAAGCAAAAGUGAGUUGUGAUUUUUCUCUUUUCCCUUAAAACUUUCCUUCAACUGCUCUUCCCCGUUUAGGAAUCUCAAGUUUCGUCCCUUCCUUGUAGGGAACACAGCAAGGAAUUGCGCCUCGUUUUCUGGAAUCCAGGCUGGACAGCAGCCAUCUCUCCCCUGAGUCCCCCUGAGGAGUCGUGGAGAGCAGCUCCAAGCAGGUUUCCGGUGGUGCGUCUCAAACCCAUGGACAGGAAGCUGAGGUCAUCAGUUGCUUUCUCAUUGCUGUCCGGGAUGCAGAUGCCUCCGCCAGCACCCCCACCCCCAGGGCAGCAGCCGGGCAAGGGUUUCCCUCGAUGGCAGAAGCCGCUCUGCAGGGCUGGCCGAGGGCCGGGUCUCUCGAUGUCACCACCUUCCACAUUCACAGCAGGCUGUUGCCAUCAAGCAAGGAAGUGGAGGACACCAUGUGGCUGCAGGCCACCUACCGCCUCUGCCUCCCGACUGGAUGGAGUUGCCUUUCCUGUAGCCAUCGCCGGUAGACUCCAGAGCCCUGUGGUGUUGGCACUGCCUCCUAUCUAGGGAGCAUCCCAGACCCAGCCUGGGGCUCUGACUCAGCUCUGACUCAGGCCCAGGCCUCAUGACUCCAGACUCCUUCUGCUGCUUCCUGCAUGGCUGGUCUGGAUGCACGUUCAGUGUGUGUGGAAAAUGCGGUGAUGGCCACUUGAACACACCGAGGUCAGCAGCCUGCAGGGCCCCCUGGGGACCCUACAGUCCGGUACUGGGCUUUGGUCCUAACUCUCCUCAGCCACCGGAGGGCACCCCGAAGAUCCACUUAGGAAUCGGCUUUUGCCAUUCACCACUGAGCAUCUCAAGGAAGAGAAUUUGAGGGUCAGGUUCUUCAGUACUUCUCCUUUCUGGGCAGCUGCAGACAGCAAUGGAGAACAAAAGUAGAAUCCAGUCUUGGUGCGUAUAAAAGCUUCUUUUCAGGUGUCUCAGAGGAGCAUCUCCUUAGUAGGAGAGAGAACGCUGACCUAAGGAGCUGGCGUGGUGCUUUGGCUGCAACAGUGCACCGUGACUGAGGGAAGCCCAUCAAACCCUAAGGAGAUUUGGCUCACCUUUUGCAUUUCAACUGACCAAAUCAGUCCUUUGAGGGAGAGGGGAUGGAAACGGGUUUUUGAAUUACAUUAGCUACCUCUAGCAUUUGCUCCUCAGAAUUACCUGGUGACAGCGCAGUGCCACAGCGUGCAUCAGGAUGUCCAGAGAGGCCUGGCACCCAGCGUGCCACUGCUCAGGGUGGCAGAGCCUUUAGGAGUCACAGGGCAGGAGCCCUCAGAGGGCUGUGGGUCCGGUCCUCCCUCUCACUGGGCCUCCUGGCCCCAGCACCCUGACUGCUUGGCUGGGAGACACUGGUUUGUGCCCCUGUGAUGUGUACAUCACAUGACCAAAUGCACCAGAGCUGGGCCACACAUGGGAUUUGUGAACAGAUCAGAUGGCAUUGGAAGCUCCCAGAAACAGCAAACCUCCAAGUACUUUGCAAAGGGCUCACGCUAUGCAAUCAGUCCGAGGCUGGUGGAACAGCGCAGCGCUGCAGUCCUGUGGUAAGGUCCCGAAACUCCAGAAGCUGCAUUUUUGCUACUGGUUUCCAUCCCCAAAUGGCAGGCAGUUAAGACGGGGUACCUGCUACUUUCUGACUAGAAAUAUCCUGUCUAUGUACACUGAUGAGGCUGUGUCUAAGUAUAACUUUUUAUUGUAUGAAAAAUAUAUAUAUGACAUAAAUGUUACUAUUUGGGCCAUUUUAAGUGUGCAAUGUGUGGAUACUACGUAAGGAUGUUUGCGGUGUGUGUAACCACCACUGUUAUCUGUGUGGGGGACGUUUCCACCACCCCCGCAGAUGCUCUGUACCUGUGAGUAUUGCAGAUAGGUAAGUUCAUUAGAUCUCUGGUAGGCCGUUAGACAGGGCCAGCCCACGAAGAGCCAACAUGGAGGACAGUGAUGACACACUCACUGAAGGCCAGCAUUGUAAAAGGAGAGAAACUACACACCCUUGUGCUUCCCCUAAGGAUGGAUAGCAGUGAUUGAUCUUCUAAAUAGGUAUCAAUCCCCUAGAUGGGUGGCCAAGAUAUUCCAAGAAAGAUCCCUGAGAAUCCUUGCUCAUUCCUUGUACGCUUUCACGUGACUUGCGUCCCCACUGG